This 4692-nucleotide long non-coding RNA is filed under the name Brassica rapa (field mustard). RNAcentral describes it as "long non-coding RNA (BRAP_LNC008725)". Lineage: Eukaryota; Viridiplantae; Streptophyta; Magnoliopsida; Brassicales; Brassicaceae. The record is from RNAcentral.
UCUCCGUUUCUCUAGGGAAUAGCAAUUUUAUAGUGGUUAGUCUAAUGAUUUAGGGAGUAUUUGCAGUUUUGCUAAAUUAAUGGAUAAAAAAUUAGAACGAUGUCCAUGUACCAUGAAAAGAAGUUUAUCAUACAUUAAUACAAAGUUAUAAUGUGGUUUUAAAUUUUAAAACAAAUUUAGAGAUUAUAGGCUUCAUAUAAAGAGCAUUUACCGAAAACUCACUAUUUUCGUAGGGGUUAACCCAUAGAUUUUGAAAAAAAUCAAAAAAAUUGAAAAUACUGUUUUAAUACAUAUUUGAAUCAAGUAAAAAAAUAUGAUGAAGUUCAAAGAGGUUUGGAACCUUUGUUGUCUCCGUUUCUCUAGGGAAUAGCAAUUUUAUAGUGGUUAGUCUAAUGAUUUAGGGAGUAUUUGCAGUUUUGCUAAAUUAAUGGAUAAAAAAUUAGAACGAUGUCCAUGUACCAUGAAAAGAAGUUUAUCAUACAUAAAUACAAAGUUAUAAUGUGGUUUUAAAUUUUAAAACAAAUUUAGAGAUUAUAGGCUUCAUAUAUAGAGCAUUUACCGAAAACUCACUAUUUUCGUAGGGGGGUACACAUAGAUUUUGAGAAAAAUUCAAAAAUUUUGAAAAUACUGUUUUAAUACAUAUUUGAAUCAUGUAAUAAUAUAUGAUGAAGUUCAAAGAGGUUUGGAACCUUUGUUGUCUCCGUUUCUCUAGGGAAUAGCAAUUUUAUAGUGGUUAGUCCAAUGAUUUAGGGAGUAUUUGCAGUAAAUUAAUGGAUAAAAAAUUAGAACGAUGUCCAUGUACCAUGAAAAGAAGUUUAUCAUACAUUAAUACAAAGGUAUAAUGUGGUUUUAAAUUUUAAAACAAAUUUAAAGAUUAUAGGCUUCAUAUAUAGAGCAUUUACCGAAAACUCACUAUUUUCGUAGGGGUUAACACAUAGAUUUUGAAAAAAAUUCAAAAAAUUGAAAAUACUGUUUUAAUACAUAUUUGAAUCAUGUAAUAAAAUAUGAUGAAGUUCAAAGAGGUUUGGAACCUUUGUUGUCUCCGUUUCUCUAGGAAUAACAAUUUUAUAGUGGUUAGUCUAAUGAUUUAGGGAGUAUUUACAGGUUUGCUAAAUUAAUGGAUAAAAAAUUAGAACGAUGUCCAUGUACCAUGAAACGAAGUUUAUCAUACAUUAAUACAAAGGUAUAAUGUGGUUUUAAAUUUUAAAACAAAUUUAAAGAUUAUAGGCUUCAUAUAUAGAGCAUUUACCGAAAACUCACUAUUUUCGUAGGGGGGUACACAUAGAUUUUGAGAAAAUUCAAAAAAUUUGACAAUACUGUUUUAAUACAUAUUUGAAUCAUGUAAUAAAAUAUGAUGAAGUUCAAAGAGGUUUGGAACCUUUGUUGUCUCCGUUUCUCUAGGGAAUAGCAAUUUUAUAGUGGUUAGUCUAAUGAUUUAGGGAGUAUUUGCAGUUUUGCUAAAUUAAUGGAUAAAAAAUUAGAACGAUGUCCAUGUACCAUGAAAAGAAGUUUAUCAUACAUUAAUACAAAGGUAUAAUGUGGUUUUAAAUUUUAAAACAAAUUUAAAGAUUAUAGGCUUCAUAUAUAGAGCAUUUACCGAAAACUCACUAUUUUCGUAGGGGGGUACACAUAGAUUUUGAGAAAAAUUCAAAAAAUUUGAAAAUACUGUUUUAAUACAUAUUUGAAUCAUGUAAUAAUAUAUGAUGAAGUUCAAAGAGGUUUGGAACCUUUGUUGUCUCCGUUUCUCUAAGGAAUAGCAAUUUUAUAGUGGUUAGUCUAAUGAUUUAGGGAGUAUUUGCAGUUUUGCUAAAUUAAUGGAUAAAAAAUUAGAACGAUGUCCAUGUACCAUGAAAAUAAGUUUAUCAUACAUUAAUACAAAGGUAUAAUGUGGUUUUAAAUUUUAAAACAAAUUUAAAGAUUAUAGGCUUCAUAUAUAGAACAUUUACCGAAAACUCACUAUUUUCGUAGGGGGGUACACAUAGAUUUUGAGGAAAAUUUGAAAAUACUGUUUUAAUACAUAUUUGAAUCAUGUAAUAAUAUAUGAUGAAGUUCAAAGAGGUUUGGAACCUUUGUUGUCUCCGUUUCUCUAGGGAAUAGCAAUUUUAUAGUGGUUAGUCCAAUGAUUUAGGGAGUAUUUGCAGUAAAUUAAUGGAUAAAAAAUUAGAACGAUGUCCAUGUACCAUGAAAAGAAGUUUAUCAUACAUUAAUACAAAGGUAUAAUGUGGUUUUAAAUUUUAAAACAAAUUUAAAGAUUAUAGGCUUCAUAUAUAGAGCAUUUACCGAAAACUCACUAUUUUCGUAGGGGUUAACCCAUAGAUUUUGAAAAAAAUCAAAAAAUUUGAAAAUACUGUUUUAAUACAUAUUUGAAUCAUGUAAAAAAAUAUGAUGAAGUUCAAAGAGGUUUGGAACCUUUGUUGUCUCCGUUUCUCUAGGGAAUAGCAAUUUUAUAGUGGUUAGUCUAAUGAUUUAGGGAGUAUUUGCAGUUUUGCUAAAUUAAUGGAUAAAAAAUUAGAACGAUGUCCAUGUACCAUGAAAAGAAGUUUAUCAUACAUUAAUACAAAGUUAUAAUGUGGUUUUAAAUUUUAAAACAAAUUUAAAGAUUAUAGGCUUCAUAUAUAGAGCAUUUACCGAAAACUCACUAUUUUCGUAGGGGGGUACACAUAGAUUUUGAGAAAAAUUCAAAAAAUUUGAAAAUACUGUUUUAAUACAUAUUUGAAUCAUGUAAUAAUAUAUGAUGAAGUUCAAAGAGGUUUGGAACCUUUGUUGUCUCCGUUUCUCUAGGGAAUAGCAAUUUUAUAGUGGUUAGUCCAAUGAUUUAGGGAGUAUUUGCAGUAAAUUAAUGGAUAAAAAUUAGAACGAUGUCCAUGUACCAUGAAAAGAAGUUUAUCAUACAUUAAUACAAAGGUAUAAUGUGGUUUUAAAUUUUAAAACAAAUUUAAAGAUUAUAGGCUUCAUAUAUAGAGCAUUUACCGAAAACUCACUAUUUUCGUAGGGGUUACACAUAGAUUUUGAAAAAAAUCAAAAAAUUGAAAAUACUGUUUUAAUACAUAUUUGAAUCAUGUAAUAAAAUAUGAUGAAGUUCAAAGAGGUUUGGAACCUUUGUUGUCUCCGUUUCUCUAGGGAAUAGCAAUUUUAUAGUGGUUAGUCUAAUGAUUUAGGGAGUAUUUGCAGUUUUGCUAAAUUAAUGGAUAAAAAAUUAGAACGAUGUCCAUGUACCAUGAAAAGAAGUUUAUCAUACAUUAAUACAAAGGUAUAAUGUGGUUUUAAAUUUUAAAACAAAUUUAAAGAUUAUAGGCUUCAUAUAUAGAGCAUUUACCGAAAACUCACUAUUUUCGUAGGGGGGUACACAUAGAUUUUGAGAAAAAUUCAAAAAAUUUGAAAAUACUGUUUUAAUACAUAUUUGAAUCAUGUAAUAAUAUAUGAUGAAGUUCAAAGAGGUUUGGAACCUUUGUUGUCUCCGUUUCUCUAGGGAAUAGCAAUUUUAUAGUGGUUAGUCUAAUGAUUUAGGGAGUAUUUGCAGUUUUGCUAAAUUAAUGGAUAAAAAAUUAGAACGAUGUCCAUGUACCAUGAAAAGAAGUUUAUCAUACAUUAAUACAAAGUUAUAAUGUGGUUUUAAAUUUUAAAACAAAUUUAAAGAUUAUAGGCUUCAUAUAUAGAGCAUUUACCGAAAACUCACUAUUUUCGUAGGGGGGUACACAUAGAUUUUGAGAAAAAUUCAAAAAAUUUGAAAAUACUGUUUUAAUACAUAUUUGAAUCAUGUAAUAAUAUAUGAUGGAGUUCAAAGAGGUUUGGAACCUUUGUUGUCUCCGUUUCUCUAGGGAAUAGCAAUUUUAUAGUGGUUAGUCUAAUGAUUUAGGGAGUAUUUGCAGUUUUGCUAAAUUAAUGGAUAAAAAAUUAGAACGAUGUCCAUGUACCAUGAAAAGAAGUUUAUCAUACAUUAAUACAAAGGUAUAAUGUGGUUUUAAAUUUUAAAACAAAUUUAAAGAUUAUAGGCUUCAUAUAUAGAGCAUUUACCGAAAACUCACUAUUUUCGUAGGGGGUACACAUAGAUUUUGAGAAAAAUUUGAAAAAUUUGAAAAUACUGUUUUAAUACAUAUUUGAAUCAUGUAAUAAUAUAUGAUGAAGUUCAAAGAGGUUUGGAACCUUUGUUGUCUCCGUUUCUCUAGGGAAUAGCAAUUUUAUAGUGGUUAGUCCAAUGAUUUAGGGAGUAUUUGCAGUAAAUUAAUGGAUAAAAAAUUAGAACGAUGUCCAUGUACCAUGAAAAGAAGUUUAUCAUACAUUAAUACAAAGUAUAAUGUGGUUUUAAAUUUUAAAACAAAUUUAAAGAUUAUAGGCUUCAUAUAUAGAGCAUUUACCUAAAACUCACUAUUUUCGUAGGGGUUAACACAUAGAUUUUGAGAAAAAUUGAAAAAAUUGAAAAUACUGUUUUAAUACAUAUUUGAAUCAAGUAAAAAAAUAUGAUGAAGUUCAAAGAGGUUUGGAACCUUUGUUGUCUCCGUUUCUCUAGGGAAUAGCAAUUUUAUAGUGGUUAGUCUAAUGAUUUAGGGAGUAUUUGCAGUUUUCCUAAAUUAAUGGAUAAAAAAUUAGAACGAUGUCCAUGUACCAUGAAAAGAAGUUUAUCAUACAUUAAUACAAAGUUAUAAUGUGGUUUUAAAUUUUAAAACAAAUUUAAAGAUUAUAGGCUUCAUAUAU